RNAcentral lists this long non-coding RNA (570 nucleotides) under Mustela putorius furo (domestic ferret). RNAcentral describes it as "lncRNA (ENSMPUG00000026261.1)". The record is from RNAcentral. Lineage: Eukaryota; Metazoa; Chordata; Mammalia; Carnivora; Mustelidae.
GUUCUCAGAGCACAGAGGAUCUUAGGGCAAUGAAGCUAUUCUGUGUGAUACUACAAUGCAUCUGGCCCUGAGACAGGGAGCCCCGCACAAGCCAAGAGAGGAGGUGUCCUCCUCCGCCCACGACGUACAUUUCCUGCUUGGAGAGUGGAGAGAGAGAGAGUGAGAGAGAGAACACAAGCAAGGGGAAGUGCAGGGCUCGAUCUCAGGACCCUGGGAUCAAGUGACUGGAGCUGAAGGCAGGGUAUGUCAUUGGCCUAGACGGUUGGUGUUUAAGGCGAUCCUGAUUCUCUCUGUUCCCACUCUGCUCCGCUCGCUCCCAGUAAACAGGAAUCGUUGGCAGAAGAUCUUUGGAACGUGGAUACACUAUACAUGCCUGGACAGUGCGGAGUCACGUGGUCCACGCACCCAGCCUCUCGUGCUUUAUCAGGCAUGGUGUUUACGUUACUUUCUAUCCCUUUUCAGUGAAACUUAUGGGGGGAAAAUGAUGCAGCACUGGGGAUGUUUUGCCUUCCGGGCCCCAAAGCAUUUCCUCCCACACGUGCUGGUGAAGACUCAUGUUUAUGAAUAAAU